GAUGAAGAACGUAGCGAAAUGCGAUACGUAAUGUGAAUUGCAGAAUUCAGUGAAUCAUCGAAUCUUUGAACGCAUAUUGCGCUCUCUGGUAUUCCGGAGAGCAUGCUUGUUUGAGUAUCAGUAAACACCUCAACUCCCCUUUCUUUUUUGAAAUGGGAGCUGGACUUGAGUGAUCCCAACGCUUUUCUCACCGAAAAGUGGCGGGUUACUUGAAAUGCAGGUGCAGCUGGACUUUUCUCUGAGCUAAAAGCAUAUCUAUUUAGUCUGCCUAAAAACAGAUUAUUACCUUUGCUGCAGCUAACAUAAAGGAGAUUAGUUCUUGUGCUGACUGAUGCAGGAUUCACAAAGACAGGCUUCGGCCGACUUUGUAAACUCGAUCUCAAAUCAAGUAAGACUACCCGCUGAACUUAAGCAUAUCAAUAAGCGGAGGA
This 431-nucleotide unclassified non-coding RNA is filed under the name soil metagenome. RNAcentral describes it as "partial contains 5.8S ribosomal RNA, internal transcribed spacer 2, and large subunit ribosomal RNA". The stretch from base 1 to 120 matches the Rfam family "5.8S ribosomal RNA", at positions 35 to 154 of the family's 154-position model. The record is from RNAcentral.